GGCGCACGGGUGCGUAACGCGUAUGCAAUCUACCUUUGCAGAGGGAUAGCCCAGAGAAAUUUGGAUUAAUACCUCAUAGUAUAGUACUUGGCAUCAAGGAACUAUUAAAGUCACAACGGCAAAAGAUGAGCAUGCGUCCCAUUAGCUAGUUGGUAAGGUAACGGCUUACCAAGGCUACGAUGGGUAGGGGUCCUGAGAGGGAGAUCCCCCACACUGGUACUGAGACACGGACCAGACUCCUACGGGAGGCAGCAGUGAGGAAUAUUGGACAAUGGGCGCAAGCCUGAUCCAGCCAUGCCGCGUGCAGGAUGACGGUCCUAUGGAUUGUAAACUGCUUUUAUACAGGAAGAAACACUCCGACGUGUCGGAGCUUGACGGUACUGUAAGAAUAAGGAUCGGCUAACUCCGUG
Molecule: ribosomal RNA, 410 nt
Filed under: uncultured bacterium
Lineage: Bacteria
Description: bacterial SSU rRNA
Rfam family: Bacterial small subunit ribosomal RNA
Source: RNAcentral